UGAGUUGCUGUUUGGUACACCCAGGAGUUGCAUCAAUGUAGCCAAGACGUGCUCUACUGGCUCAGUUUACAUUUGCAUCAAUGUAUCCGAAACACCUCGGAAAUCUGAUUUACGGUUUCAUUUGGGGCGACAACGAUACGAUACCAGGGGCUAAGAUUGGAUGCACAACCACAUGGUCCUCCACACAGUACAGAAUCAAAAGGGUUUCUAUGUUUCACCAAAUCUACUCCUCCGGGUUAAGUCGCUGACAACACAAAAUGGAAAUAACCAAAAUUAUAGUGUCACUUUGCUGCUAGUCGCUCCAUUACAUUACAGUCCAUGGGGUGUUGUAACUUCAGAGAUUCUCUUCCUCUGCUACCAAGAGUCUCUCUCCAGGCAAACGGCCAGCUACAAAAACGGUGAACCAUGGAUGAUAGAUCAGCGCCUCUUCUUGCCAGACUUUGAGCCGGCAGAUUUCGAUGGGCUCGCGACCAGGUAGAUGAACCCCAGAACGAAGGAAACGACAGACACCAGUGCUCCGUACUUUGCAAUAAGUUUCUGCACAUGGACAGUUUCUUAGAAUCUCACACCAGGGAAUAUCAUGGCAGCUUAUUUAUAUGGAGGAGAAAUGAAAUGAAAUUACCUUAGCCUGAACAACGAAUGAGAGUGAAUCCAGAAUUCCAGAGCAAGAGUAUCAGCCCCACAAAAUAGCAUGGAAAAAAUUAGAAUCACCAAGGAGAUAUACCAGAAUGAAAAUGCACACAAUCACUUACCCAUUCAAACUUCUUCACUGGAGGUCUUUCAGCAAGAAUGUCCAGGGGGAGGAUGGGAGUUGAGUAGGCCUCCUACGGCGUACAAAAUUAUCAGUUUAGCAAGAGGAGUUGACACUGGUGAAUGAAUGAGCAAACAAGCGAAUGUAUAUCAUUUGAGGCACUAGUGAAUAAUAUAC
RNAcentral lists this long non-coding RNA (928 nucleotides) under Triticum aestivum (bread wheat). RNAcentral's name for it is "long non-coding RNA (TAES_LNC028486)". Lineage: Eukaryota; Viridiplantae; Streptophyta; Magnoliopsida; Poales; Poaceae. The record is from RNAcentral.